Long non-coding RNA from Ornithodoros turicata, 248 nucleotides. RefSeq lists it as uncharacterized. The record is from RefSeq and is a predicted model, not a curated record. The transcript has 3 exons. Lineage: Eukaryota; Metazoa; Arthropoda; Arachnida; Ixodida; Argasidae.
AAGCACUUACUGGUGACGAGUACAGCAGGUCACCACUUCCAUUCCCACCCACACCACCACCCAUGACGUCAAGUCACCCUCCUGGAGGUGCACAAUGUUUCAUGUUGCAAGCUACUGAGCACCGACCGGACCUUCCUGCCCAUCCCCAACAUUAUCACCAAGGCUUGCCACACAGUGCCCAGAACAUGGUACAUAUAAGCCUUCCGUCAAGUGAUCAUGACGUACUGACACAUCAAGGUGAUACCCUG